UCAAAAAGGAGUUUGAGGGAGAAUGUAAGUUUUGGGGAUUUGAGGUCUUCAAUUUGAAGCUUUUUGAG
RNAcentral lists this transfer RNA (68 nucleotides) under Diplodiscus nigromaculati. RNAcentral's name for it is "tRNA-Pro". The record is from RNAcentral. Lineage: Eukaryota; Metazoa; Platyhelminthes; Trematoda; Plagiorchiida; Diplodiscidae.